Artibeus jamaicensis (Jamaican fruit-eating bat) is the source of this 106-nucleotide small nuclear RNA. NCBI's taxonomy places the organism in Eukaryota, Metazoa, Chordata, Mammalia, Chiroptera, Phyllostomidae. The record is from RefSeq and is a predicted model, not a curated record.
GUGUUCGUUCAGCAGCACAUAUACUAACGUUAGAACAAUACAGAUAAGAUUAACAAGAGCCCCAUUCAAAGAUGAGGCACAAAUUCCUGAAGUGUUCCAUAUUUUG